This 810-nucleotide long non-coding RNA is filed under the name Brachypodium distachyon (stiff brome). Its description in RNAcentral is "long non-coding RNA (BDIS_LNC004635)". Lineage: Eukaryota; Viridiplantae; Streptophyta; Magnoliopsida; Poales; Poaceae. The record is from RNAcentral.
CAGCCGCGGCCUCCCUGCCCCGCCGCCACCACAUCCUCCUGCUCUUCCGAAGCCUUCUCCAGCCGCUCCGCCCGCUGCCGCCACCUUCUCCUGCCGCGCUGCCCGCCUUCUCUGAUGGCACGGCCGCCAGUGCCAACAGGCACCUCUGAUGGAGCUGCCAUCGAACCUCCACAAGGGCUUGGCCGUCGGUGCCCUCCUCCCUCGCUGAGGGAGCCGCCAAUGACCCCUGUCAUUUCUAGUCCCCUGCCAACACACAGCCAGGUCAGUAAUCAUCCGCACAUCUCCCCGCCCUUAUUUUGAUCUCAUCGUGUUCAAACUAGGGAAUAAUUGCUUUGUGAUUACAUAGUGCCUUCAGAAGUAACUUGAGUGAGUUGAUGGAGAAUUUGCUGCAGUAGCUUCGUCAGAUUUGGCUGCUAUCUUCUAAUGGGCAAUAUUCAGUGGUAUAGACAUUUACAGAACAAUGGACGGUUCUGCCUCAUAAAUUUCAUUGGAAAUGCUAAGUGUCAUUGUUAAUUAGCUCAAUUUAGUUUUUAGUUGAAUGUGUCAGUUGUUAAUUAGCUGAAUUUAGUUUUUAUAGUCAUCUUAUUUAGACUAGGGAAUGUACCAUGGGACAAGAAUUUCUUUUCAGAAAAUUCAGUUGUUUGAUAGUUGAAUUCAGUUGCUAAUCUACACUACGUAUUGCCAACGAGAUAAUGCAACACUCCACGCUUGUUUCAUAUGAAAAGAUGUUAAUUCUUGAUUUUCCUAUUGCCAUCUUUCUUUCUUCUUUGUGCUGACGGCUGACUAGAGUAUAUGCUAAUUCAGUAUGUU